CGGGUGAGUAACACGUGGGUAACCUGCCUGUAAGACUGGGAUAACUCCGGGAAACCGGAGCUAAUACCGGAUAGUUCCUUGAACCGCAUGGUUCAAGGAUGAAAGACGGUUUCGGCUGUCACUUACAGAUGGACCCGCGGCGCAUUAGCUAGUUGGUGGGGUAAUGGCUCACCAAGGCGACGAUGCGUAGCCGACCUGAGAGGGUGAUCGGCCACACUGGGACUGAGACACGGCCCAGACUCCUACGGGAGGCAGCAGUAGGGAAUCUUCCGCAAUGGACGAAAGUCUGACGGAGCAACGCCGCGUGAGUGAUGAAGGUUUUCGGAUCGUAAAGCUCUGUUGUUAGGGAAGAACAAGUGCGAGAGUAACUGCUCGCACCUUGACGGUACCUAACCAGAAAGCCACGGCUAACUACGUGCCAGCAGC
This 426-nucleotide ribosomal RNA is filed under the name Bacillus zhangzhouensis. RNAcentral describes it as "bacterial SSU rRNA". It matches the Rfam family "Bacterial small subunit ribosomal RNA", at positions 103 to 515 of the family's 1533-position model. Lineage: Bacteria; Bacillati; Bacillota; Bacilli; Caryophanales; Bacillaceae. The record is from RNAcentral.